This 400-nucleotide ribosomal RNA is filed under the name uncultured bacterium. RNAcentral describes it as "bacterial SSU rRNA". It matches the Rfam family "Bacterial small subunit ribosomal RNA", at positions 358 to 774 of the family's 1533-position model. The record is from RNAcentral.
GGAAUCUUGCGCAAUGGACGGAAGUCUGACGCAGCGACGCCGCGUGGGUGAAGACGGCCUUCGGGUUGUAAAGCCCUUUUCUGGAGGAAGAGGGAGGACGGUACUCCAGGAAUAAGUGUCGGCUAACUACGUGCCAGCAGCCGCGGUAAUACGUAGGACACGAGCGUUAUCCGGAUUUACUGGGCGUAAAGCGCCUGUAGGCGGUUCUUCAAGUCGUUUGUGAAAGCCCUGGGCUCAACCUGGGGAGGCCAAGCGAUACUGGAGGACUUGAGGGUGACAGAGGGGAGUGGAAUUUCCGGUGUAGCGGUAAAAUGCGCAGAUAUCGGGAGGAACACCAGUGGCGAAGGCGGCUCCCUGGGUCACACCAGACGCUGAGAGGCGAAAGCUAGGGGAGCGAACA